CUUUCCUAUAGCUUUACAUUGAAUUUAAUAAUUAAAUACGUAGGAUAGAUGGGAGACUUUGAUGUGUUAAUUUCGGUUAACAUGGAGUCGACGGUGAAAUACCAUUUUUUUAAUUUUUAAAUUCUAACUAUAUUUUAUAAAAGUAAAAGUAAGACAGUGUAUGGUGGGUAGUUUGACUGGGGCGGUCGCCUCCUAAAGAGUAACGGAGGCGUACGAAGGUAGGCUCGGUUGGGUUGGAAAUCCAACUUUUGAGUGUAAUGGCAUAAGCCUGCUUGACUGUAAGACUGACAAGCCGAACAGGGACGAAAGUCGGUCAUAGUGACCCGGUGGUUUCUGUGAGGAAAGGCCAUCGAUCAACGGAUAAAAGGUA
RNAcentral lists this ribosomal RNA (370 nucleotides) under uncultured organism. Its description in RNAcentral is "bacterial LSU rRNA". It matches the Rfam family "Bacterial large subunit ribosomal RNA", at positions 2099 to 2465 of the family's 2925-position model. The record is from RNAcentral.